RNAcentral lists this ribosomal RNA (468 nucleotides) under uncultured bacterium. RNAcentral's name for it is "partial 16S ribosomal RNA". It matches the Rfam family "Bacterial small subunit ribosomal RNA", at positions 28 to 507 of the family's 1533-position model. The record is from RNAcentral.
GACGAACGCUGGCGGCGUGCUUAACACAUGCAAGUCGAACGGAAGGGCCCUGCUUUUGUGGGGUGCUCGAGUGGCGAACGGGUGAGUAACACGUGAGUAACCUGCCCUUGACUUUGGGAUAACUUCAGGAAACUGGGGCUAAUACCGGAUAGGAGCUCCUGCUGCAUGGUGGGGGUUGGAAAGUUUCGGCGGUUGGGGAUGGACUCGCGGCUUAUCAGCUUGUUGGUGGGGUAGUGGCUUACCAAGGCUUUGACGGGUAGCCGGCCUGAGAGGGUGACCGGCCACAUUGGGACUGAGAUACGGCCCAGACUCCUACGGGAGGCAGCAGUGGGGAAUAUUGCACAAUGGGCGGAAGCCUGAUGCAGCAACGCCGCGUGCGGGACGACGGCCUUCGGGUUGUAAACCGCUUUCGCCUGUGACGAAGCGUGAGUGACGGUAAUGGGUAAAGAAGCACCGGCUAACUACGUG